UACGGGGGGAGCAAGCGUUGUUCGGAUUUACUGGGCGUAAAGGGCGCGUAGGCGGCCACCGCAAGUCGACUGUGAAAUCUCCGGGCUUAACCCGGAAAGGUCAGCCGAUACUGCGGGGCUAGAGUGCAGAAGGGGCAACUGGAAUUCUCGGUGUAGCGGUGAAAUGCGUAGAUAUUGGGAGGAACACCAGCGGCGAAGGCGGCUCACUGGACCGGAACUGACGCUGAGGCGCGAAAGCGUGUGGAGCAAACAGG
Molecule: ribosomal RNA, 254 nt
Filed under: uncultured bacterium
Lineage: Bacteria
Description: partial 16S ribosomal RNA
Rfam family: Bacterial small subunit ribosomal RNA
Source: RNAcentral